Salvia splendens (bonfire salvia) is the source of this 1109-nucleotide long non-coding RNA. RefSeq lists it as uncharacterized. The record is from RefSeq and is a predicted model, not a curated record. The transcript has 5 exons. Lineage: Eukaryota; Viridiplantae; Streptophyta; Magnoliopsida; Lamiales; Lamiaceae.
CCAAUUUCACAAUUCCAAUUGUAUUGAAAAUGAAUUAGACUUAAAUUCCCUUCUUAAAUUCCUUUAAGCAGUCCAAUUGUAUUCUCAAUAUAAUUCUCAAUAUAAUUCUCACAAUUCGUCUACAGCUCAGUCUAUCAAGCGGCUCUCCCAAUUCAAUUCGUCACCGCCUAUCGGAAACCUCCUCCCCUGAUUCAAUUCUCACCGCCUCCCCCAAUUCUCGUCUGCAAUAGGUGAUUCAUCUCUGUUCGAGGACGCUUCAUUUCCAGCUCAAGACAAAUUUUCCAGCGGUUUUUCCUCUCACUGACUUCGUUUUCCUCUCAAUUGAGAUCGAGGUCUUGGAAGAGAUUUCACAUUAUCCAGAUACCGUGGGUGCUAAAUUGAAGGGAACUGCAGGAGUUAAAUGCCUAGAGGAGGAUUUACCGGACGACUUAGAGAAGCCUCAUCCCGUGGCACUCAGCUUAAGGAACUAGAGGACGUUCCUCCUGAGCUGCACGGCUCUUGGCACACAUGCUAAUGGCUGUGUUGCAUUUGAUGUGACAGCCAAAAAAAUGGCUAAAGUGAACCAUGGAAAUCUCCCUCCAUUUUGGAUCUAUUUCUCAAGACUCAUAGGCUAAAGGACUCAUACGAGUUAUGUUCACAAGCAGCCAAAGAAAUUGAGGGGAGAGUUUUGGCAAGGGCUAAGGGGAAGAUCCAGAUUACGAUGCAAUCUUUCUCGAGCUUUUUGGGAGGGUUAAGAAAAGGAAACAGGUUCCUGGAGCUGGGCAAGCGACAAGCUUGUAUUUUCCAUUUGCUACCAGCUCAGCUGCGGGCUCUGCAUCUUCCGGCUCGUCUGGCCUCAGCAAUGAGCAGGUUGAUGAGCUUCUCGAGCGACGAGUACAGCCUUUGCAUCAAGAGAUCGAAGAAUUGCGGGAGCUAGUAAAAGUCCUCAGUCAGCAAGUUCAAGAAAAUUCAAGAGUAUAGAAGAAGUGGCUAGUAGUAUUUGAACUAAAUUGUGGAAACUAGUAGUAUUUGAACUUAAUUUGUGAUUUGAUUGAAUUGAAGUGUGAAACAAUAUUUUGUAUCUAUGUAAAAUUUGAAUUUUCGUCAUUCAAUUGAGUUAUUUCAUACUA